GAUGAACGCUGGCGGCGUGCCUAAUACAUGCAAGUCGAGCGAACGGACGAGAAGCUUGCUUUUCUGAUGUUAGCGGCGGACGGGUGAGUAACACGUGGAUAACCUACCUAUAAGACUGGGAUAACUUCGGGAAACCGGAGCUAAUACCGGAUAACAUUUUGAACCGCAUGGUUCAAAAGUGAAAGACGGUCUUGCUGUCACUUAUAGAUGGAUCCGCGCUGCAUUAGCUAGUUGGUAGGGUAACGGCUUACCAAGGCAACGAUGCAUAGCCGACCUGAGAGGGUGAUCGGCCACACUGGAACUGAGACACGGUCCAGACUCCUACGGGAGGCAGCAGUAGGGAAUCUUCCGCAAUGGGCGAAAGCCUGACGGAGCAACGCCGCGUGAGUGAUGAAGGUCUUCGGAUCGUAAAACUCUGUUAUUAGGGAAGAACAUAUGUGUAAGUAACUGUGCACAUCUUGACGGUACCUAAUCAGAAAGCCACGGCUAACUACGUG
RNAcentral lists this ribosomal RNA (497 nucleotides) under uncultured bacterium. RNAcentral's name for it is "partial 16S ribosomal RNA". It matches the Rfam family "Bacterial small subunit ribosomal RNA", at positions 28 to 507 of the family's 1533-position model. The record is from RNAcentral.